UGUUUGAUUUCAUAGGAAAAAAGGAAGAGGAAAAGCCAACUCAUGCCCAAGAAGAACAGGCUAUUUCCUCUGAGUUUGAUGAAAAAGUAAAAGUAUCUGAAGAAGUUGCAGAAUACAAGGAGGAAGAGAAGAAAGAAGAGAAGAAACUUCAUCGAUCAAGUAGCAGCUCUAGCAGCUCCGUAAGUAUUUUCGAUCAUGGGUAAAAUUUAUCGGUACUCAUUUAUUUACAUCAAAUCAAUAAAUAUAAAAUAAUUAUGUUUCAUAGAUGCAUGUUUUACUUAAUUGUACCUAUUCUUACUUUAUUUUAUGGUAAUUAUUAACAGAGUCACAUCCAGGAUUGAAAGUUUAUGAGUUCCUAUUAUAAUUUUAAAUUAAUAUACAAUAAUAACUGAAUUCACGCUUAUAUAUUUAUUGAUAUUUAAUGAAUUUUUUAAUAAAAAUACUGAAUCUAUGCAAAAAUUACUGGCUUCUCGGAUCCAGAAGCUAUACUCUACAUCCGCCUAGCCUUUGGACAUAGAUUGAGUUGAAACUUGAAAAAAUAUUUUUGAAGUAGUUUUGGAAAAUAAUUUUUGGAAGUUGAAAUUAGUUUGGACAUACAUUUUAUUUGAAAAACAUUUGAAGUUUUGUGAGUAGGAACUGAUUUUCAUCCAAAAUCUACCAUAAACUAGAUUUUGGAAACUUAAAAAAUAUUUUCAGAAAUUUUUCAAAAACAGAUCACUAAUUUGUGGACAAACAAUGUUUUAAAAAAAAAAUGAAAAAAACUUGCCAAAAUGUAUGGCCAAACGAGGGCUUAAAUUUUUUUACACGAUCAGGUCAUAUUUACCUUAUUGUAUCAAGUAACAUGUCUCGUUUUCAAAAUUUACUUCUAGAUAUUCUUCGAAUGACUUGACAGUAUGAAAAACUAAUUACAUCGAUGGUGUAUAUAUAUAUAUAUUUUGAUCAUGUUUACAUGAAUAGCCUCAUCAUAUAGAAAAGCAUCAGCGGCUGUUUUCACGACUCGAACUUUGUAACCUUGCUGUUUGUGUACAACAAAAACUCUUUUUAUAGUUGGAUGAAGCUUAUGUUAAUUGUGAUGAUCUUGCAGAGUGAUGAAGAGGAAGAAAUAGGAGAGGACGGACAGAAAAUCAAGAAGAAGAAAAAGAAGGGUUUGAAGGAUAAGAUCAAGGAGAAAAUAUCUGGAGAACACAAGGAAGAUGAGAAGGCAGAGGACACAGCUGUUCCAGUGGAGAAAUACGAAGAAGCAGAGGAGAAAAAAGGAUUCCUAGACAAGAUUAAGGAGAAGUUGCCAGUUGGCGGCCAAAAGAAGACGGAGGAAGUGGCGCCUCCACCACCGGCUGCGGCGGAACACGAGGCUGAGGGAAAAGAGAAGAAGGGAUUUUUGGACAAGAUUAAGGAGAAAUUACCACGAUACCACUCAAAGACUGAAGAAGAAAAGGAAAAAGAGAAAGAAACUGCAUCUCACUAGAUUAUUACAGCAUGAAAAUGAAUGUUUUUAUUUGUCGCUUUUUUGUUUUUUUGUUUUUGUGUAUGUCAUGAUUGUGUUACUGCUGUUUGGUUAAGCUUUCAUUUCCUUCACUUUUUUGGGGUUUGAAGGAUAAUAGUAUUGUAUUCAUAUAUGUAAGUGCAUAUAGCAUGUGCUUAUGUAUAAAGUUUGAUGUGGAUCUUUCGUUUGUAAAAUGCAGUUGGUUUUGCUUUUCACCUUAUCUUUUGUGUUUUCCUUAAUUACCUAUGUUAAAGCAUUAGGAUAAUUAAACAAGAUAAGCCAGCAAGGUGGCCUUGUGUUUUAUUAUCAGGAGAAAGUGUACCAAUAAUAAUAGGAAUUAUGGUACCACAAUGUUUGUCAACUUCGUAAAAUUUCACGAAUGGGAUAUGGGUGUGUACGCAAAUUUUACCUCAACCCGAAAAAGUAUAGAGGUUAGUUUUCGAAAGACCCUCGGCAAUAUUUGUCAACUAAUGUGGUUAAAAUGAAUGGAGUUGUGAUUGCAUCUUCACAUGAUGCAAAAUAAGAACAAAAAUUAGAUACCAUAACUUGCCUUCGAACGGGCUUCACCUUUAAAGGAGAGUAAUCAAUCCGUGAAUGAAGAUCAAAUUUACCGCUUAAAAUGUUGUACUUCAGUGAUGACGACCUUCAAAGGAGAGUAAUCGAUCCGUGAAUGAAGAUCAAAUUUAUCGCUUAAAAUGUAGUACUUCAGUGAUGACGACCUAACAUAUAUAGGUUUUAUUCAUUCGCUCCGUAGGUGAUGCCACUUAAAAGGGUCGAUAGGCUUGUAAUUCAAGCAUCACAUGUCUAUCCUAAAAGUCUUCAAAGGAGGACUAUGAGUUGUAAGUGUGAAGGUUAAGAAAUUAAGACCGUGGGUGUGUGUGGUCUAAAGUUUAAAGUGUACUACUAUAUUCUACUCAAAUUUUUGAAAUAGGUCUGAAUCGGAUCGGAUUUAGCAUAUUUCAGAUUCGGAUUUCGAAUUUUGGAUUCUACAAAAUACAAUCCAAAUCUGAUCCGAAUUAAUAUCGGAUCGGAUCAAAUUUUAAAAUUUGGAUCGGAUCAAUAUUUUAGAUUUCGGAUCGGAUUAUUAUGCCUCAAAGUUGCAAACUCAUAUGUAUAUAUUCAUUGUAAGAGAUGCAAUACAUCAAGAACAAUUCAUGUUUCUGCAAUUAUAUGAGAGCACUAUGGUGUCAAUAUAGCUAAAUCCAGCAAUUGUAAAGGUAGAAAUUUGGAAGAAGAAAAAAGAAGAAGACUUUUGGGAGAAUUGCUAGUCUCCCAACCUUGAGGAGUCCCCAAUUUGGGGCUUCACAAAUGUAAAAGUUAAACCCAUUAGUUAUUCAUUGGUUAUCCAUUUUCUAAGUGAAUAUUGUGGUUCUUAUCCAUAUUCGAUCCGUUUUUAAAAUGUUUAUUAUCCAACCCAUUUUUAAUGGAUAAUAUGGGUGGAUACCUGUUUUAUUUUAGCCAUUUUGCCACCUCUAGUCAUCACUCACCACUCACAUUAUUAGCAUCACUCACGUUAGUACUUAUUUUGUUUACCUCGAAAAAUGUGAGUAACAAUUAAAGAUAGUUUGUGGUUUUAAAGAUAUGUGAUAAAUUCUAAUACUAGUGAUUAUACAAGUAAUAUUAAGCUUAAGUAAGAAAAGUUGGUAGGCGAAAUUGAUAUUGUUGAAGCAGAAGGAGCCUCGAGCUUGAUUACCCCAGGGACCUCGAGGUCAGCUAAGAACAAUGAAGUAUAAAGAAAAGAUAAUAAAGCUGAAGAACAAUUGGUAAACAGCUGAGUAGAAUAUUCUAUUGCAGUGAAUAAUGUGAGAUGAUCUUACAAAAUGAUUUGGGUCCCCUUUAUAUAGGAGGAGAAAACUCCAAUAUAAUACAUUCCUAAUUGUAGUAAAGAAUUCUAUUGGUACAAGUGUACAGUAACCUAGUACAGACCUGUACCAUUUCCUACAAAUCUUAUCCUUUAAUUUAUGCUCUGACCCACGUGUCCUUGAGAAAUUUUUGCUCUUUCUUGAGUGCCCUCUAGAUUGUACUGCCCUCGAGCCAGGCCUUCAAUCUGCUUCCUCGAGGUGUGUGUGCUCUAACCGGGUCUGACCUCUAUUUCGAGUCAUCCAGACUCGAACUCAUAGCCCAGUUUAAGACUUGGAAAUCGGGUUCCUUGAUUCAGACCGUAUAUAGAUAGUCCCCGCGUUUUUUAGAAUGAAAUGAUAUGAAACGAUUUGGAUUCCCGAAGUCAUUUAUGAUUGCACCACUCUUAUGACGUAAGCGUUGAAAUAACCGAAGCGUCCCGUUAGUUCUUUUCCCCAAAAAUAAUAAAUGCACGUCAGAGCCGGUCGACCAUCACUACUAAUGAACCGUCGCCGCCUUCCACUAUAUACACUUGAUUUUUCUUCUCAUUAAGGACUUUUUUACCUUGCAAUACCUAUUCUCUUCUAUACUUUUCCUUUUCACCCCCAGUUCCUCUGUCGCAUCGGCUCAAAACCUUGUUGGUUCACUCAAUUUCUUCCUUAUUUUCCUAAAGCACUGAUGGCUAAAACUUCUAAGUCUGUUCCUCAGAAAGAAGAGAACUCUACUUCUACUUCCCGUCCGGCCGGUGGUAAAUCGCCGGCUCUUCAUGAGAUCAUAUCGGGCAAAUUUUCCUUUAAAAAGGACUUUAUAGUCGAAAACCCUCCCGACGUUGUCGGCCGUCGAGAGCAUGCAUCGUGGUACAUAAGGUCAAUUGAGGAAAGUCAUCUCGAUGCUGUGAGAAGGGAGUGCAAGUGGGGAGAGGAGGUCGUUCUGCAAAUACCUUCUCAAGGGGAGGACAUCACAACUUACAUAGAGGGAUUCCUGAGUGUGUAUACAUACCCCUUUACAUUGGGUCCCCUCGACCCACUCGUGCUCGAAUUCUGCCAAAGAUAUCAAGUAACCCUGGGCCAGAUUCAUCCGUCCUUUUGGCGGAUCGUAAUAAUGAUGAGGUUCUUCAAUGAAAAGGCCGAUCUCGAGUUCACCCUUAGCCACCUCAUUUGAUUAUAUCGACCUUAACAUUUCUGAGGUUUAAUCAAACUCCAACACCGAAAAAUUAAGUCUUUCUUUGUCAGUAACAACGAAGGCAAGGAUCGAGGUUGGAUGAGCCGGUUCAUCCAGGUGAGGACCGUCGAUAUUAUCCCCGAGAAAUUCCUGCCGUUCCCCGAGAAAUGGAAUUUCGAACGUGAGUGGAAUUCUUUUAACUCUUUUCCAUAAACUUUUCUAAACUUUUUAUAAUUAUUCCUUUCCCCUCUUCGACCUCAAGGACUGGGUUCGCAGACUAGCUGCUACUUCACCAUAUGACAAACGCAAAUGGCGGGACUUGUCGAAGGGCAAGUGGGAAGUGAAACAUCAUGGUACAUGCCAUAAUGUUUCUUUCCUCAUUAAGAAUAUCUUUCUUCAUGUGACCUGAUUCCUUUAUCGCAGGUAUUAGUGAGUUCUUUGAGAUGAGGCCGCCUCCUUUCGGGGAGAAAGCAGGAUCUUCGGCUCCAAAGCCUAAGGAGGACAAUAAGAGGAAGAGGUCUUCGACGAGAGAGGACACCCAAAGCCAAACAGAGCCUACUCAGAGGCAUAGCAGAAGCGUUAUUAUCAGUGUGGACGUUGACUCAGCCCACCAAUUCAUGGAUGAUGAUGGUGACGAGAUGGAAGGUUUGACGCUUGUGACUCGAACUGGGAAAUCCUCUGAGGCUAUCAAGCCUGCUGAGAUCGGGGCCCCUACCCUCAAAGAAGGAACUUUAAAAGAAAAGGGGAAUGAAUGCCCUGCACCAUCUGAUACGACAACGGUUUCUCAGACUUCUGGAAAUACCCCAAAAGGAGCGAGUUUCGAAGCUUCUUUGCCUAAAUAGAAUGCCUCGGGUGAUCUCACCAAGGCCAUGCAUGACAGAAGGUCAACCUUUGUCGUUUUUGGCAUUCUCCGAGGAUACCAUUAGGGAUGCUCAGAACGUGAAGAUGUCCGAGCUCGGCGGAAUCCCGAGUGAAAAUGACCCCUUCCAAGGUUACUUUGCCGGGGUCUAUGAGGACGACCCAGCGGAUGCGAGCUCAAUCUUCGAGGAGGCUCAACGUCUUUGUUUAAUUGUAGUUUUAGCGGCCCUGAUGUUUCUCCACUGCCAUACUUUUCUUCUCUUGUCUAAUUAAUCGUUCCUUUCAUUUGUAUAGGCCUUUGACAAUUGAAGACCGAAUUGCGCCAUUAUGACGUCGAAUUGCGUAGGGCUUCAAGUGAGGAGAAAACACUUAGGCUUCUCCUUGACCAAAAGAAGGAAGAACUGAAACAUCUCCUAUCAGAGCUGACCAAAGCUCAUGAAUACGAGAGUGAGCCAGAAAAGCAGGUAACCUCUAUUCUAAAAAAAUACAGGCUACCUCUCCCGUCUUCGGAGGCUAAUACUUCAAUGUAUCAACUACAGUAGAAGCUAGAUAUGAUCGGGCAGCUCCGGGGCGAGGUUGAUCAAAUCCGAGCCGAGUGCAAUGAAUGGAAAGCGAAGAUAGAUGCCCUUGUUGUGGCUAAAAAUGAUGCAUUGGAGAAGGUAUCAGCCCUCGAGGUCCAACUUUGAAAUGCUCAAGGGAGCAACUGGGUUCAAGCUAGCAAAAUAGCUGAGCUCGAGGCUGGUCUUGCGAAGGCCAAGGCCGAAGUGGUGGAAGUCAGGGCCGAAGCCAGCGUAAUAUAGGCCAAGGCCGGCAGGAUGGUGGCCAUCUAUUUGAAAGUUGUUGCCGAUGCUCAGAUGGAGUUGAGAGAGGCUUCCGAUCGAGAAAAAAAAAGCAAUGACUAUGUCCGACGCCGAUCUCGAAGGGAGAUCCUCUAAGAGAUUCAUGCUAAGGGCUUUGAUCUUUCCGAGGAGAUAAACCAAGCUAAGGCAGAUGAGGCUGAUACCAAAUUUGUCCUUUCCUCCGAUGAUGAUGAUGACGCCGAAGAUGAUGAAGAGGAGGGGGUUGCCGAAGAAGUUACUCCCGGAGAAGAGGCUGGUCCCGGGGAAACGACAUGUCUGGGGGGAAAUGCCCCUCUGGAGUAGGUAGGAGGAGGUAUAAUUUUUUCUAACUUUUUGUAUAUUUUGCUUUGUAUGACCCCCGUGUAAUAUCUUUUUGUAUAUAUAAAAAGAAGCUUCCUUUGUCGUUUGCCUUCAAUUUUUCUUCAGCGUUUGUUAAAUUUUUGAUGCUCUGACCUCUGAGCGUUGAACCAAAUUCGGGGUAGAGUAGACCCUCAAAUAUUUGUAUUUUGAUCAACGAUCGAUAAUAGGUCACUACUUAAUGUUCGAUCUUCGAGCUAAGUUUUAGCUCAGGACUUUUGAGUCCGAGCUAGGUAAGGUCUCCGAGCAUGGUGUGCUUCGGCCUUAAAGCUCUUUAAAUAUUGGCCCUUAAGGUCUUUUAGGUUGGCCCUUAGACUCUUUUAGGUUGGCCCUUAGGCUCUUUUAUGUUUGCCCUUAGGCUCUUUUAGGUUGGCCCUUAGGCUCUUUAAAUUGGGCUGUUUAGGUCUCUAAAAAUGGCUAUAUAGUUUUUCCCUCAUUUCAGCUAAAUUUGAGGAGUCCCCAAUUGCUAGUCUCCCAACCUUGAGGAGUCCCCAAUUUGAGGCUUCACAAAUGUAAAAGUUAAACCCAUUAGUUAUCUAUUGACUAUCCAUUUUCUAAGUGGAUAUUAUGGUUCUUAUCCAUAUUCGACCCGUUUUUAAAAUGUUCCUUAUCCAACCCAUUUUUUAAUGGAUAAUAUGGGUGGAUACCUAUUUUAUUUUAACUAUUUUGCCAUCUCUAGUCAUCACUCACCACUCACAUUAUUAGCAUCACUCACAUUAGUACUUAUUUUGUUUACCUCGAAAAAUGUGAGUAACAAUUAAAGAUAGUUUGUGGUUUUAAAGAUAUAUGAUAUAUUCUAAUACUAGUGAUUAUACAAGUAAUAUUAAGCUUAAAUAAGAAAAGUUGGUGGACCAAAUUGAUGUUGUUGAAGCAGAAAGAGUCUCGAGCUUGAUUACCCAGGGACCUCGAGGUCGUUUAGUUAUGCCUUAGCAUGUGCUUUUGUACCCGUUGGGUUUUUCGAAGGCUUGACUUAUCGGAACCUUAUUAGUCAUUUAGCUUGUGUAGGCAUGAUCGAAUAACUUUUAAGGUUUUCCUGAAGGCUGGUAUUAUCGAAGCCUUUAGAUUAUUCGAGGGCUGAUUUUAUUGAAGCCCCUUAUAAUUUGCUUUUGCCGAGGGUAGCCUGAGUUAACCAGUUUUUUCGAAAUAUAUGAAGGCCUUUAGUUUUAUGGCGAAAGUGGACAUCUUGAGCCGCAUUAUUUCGGCCGUAUCCUUUUCAUAAGACUAUAGUCUUUUAUAUGGCCGUAGCCUUUAGUCCCCGAGUGUGAUGGCCUUAGCCUUAAUAUCGAGGGGAUACCUCUUCGAGGUCUUGUGAGCUCGAAUGUGCCUCUUUGAGGUCUUAUAAGUUCGAGUGUGCCUCUUUGAGGUCUUAUAAGUUUGAGUGUUCGAUAACUCAAAAUGUCGAUAGUUGAUAACCGCCCCCGAGUGUUUGGGUGCUUUCGGGGUUUUGGCCCUUAAGCCGUUAAAUGUGAAAAUAGUAGACUUCUUUGAGGCACAAAGUGUUUAGAUAUAUAAAAAAUUCUUUUUCAAAUAAUGCGUACAUAUUUUGCCGCUGGGGGCUCGACUGUUCUAUGUGGACACGGUUCUUUCGACCGUUUGGCCCAUUAUAACAUUCCCUAUCGAGGACCUCCUUGGCAUAAAUUGCUUUCUUCGAGGAUGCUUCCUCCGAGCAUGAUGCCCCCCAAUAUUUGAGGUUAAUUGAAAAGAAGCCUUGAAUACUUUGUUGAAUGUUCCUUAGGUAGCAUAUAGGUGUUGCCUCGUUAAAAACCUUACCGGUAAAACCCAUUUUGGAUAAAACUCGAUCUAAGGGAAAAAGAGUGCAACACAUGCUUUCAAACCCAAGGCCUUCGAGCUGAUAGAUGCCUUAAUAUCUCCAAUCGAACAUCUGCAAGGAGUUAGUUUUAAAUACAAAUGGAAAAGGGGAGAAGGUCACACCUCAGCAGUAAUAUCGCUUGAGAAUCGAUACAUUCCAAUUGUUUGGUAGUUGCUCGCCUUCCAUUGUGCUAAGUUUGUAGGAUCCUCCCUACGAUUCCGAUUAAACGGUACGGUCCUUCCCAAUUGGGGCCUAACUUCCCUUUGUUUGGGUCUCGAGUGUUGAGGGUGACUUUUCUUAGGGCCAAGUCCCCGAAUCUAAAAUAUCAAAGGUGCGUCCUUCUGUUGUAAUACUUUUCGAUCCUUUGUUUUUGCGCGGCCAUUCGAAUCAAUGCGGCCUCACGUUUUUUGUCAAGUAGUUCGCGAGAAGUGUUCAUGGCUUAGUGAUUUGAGUCCUCGGUGGCAUGCUGAAACCUACCACUAGGUUCCCCGACUUCAACUGGGAUCAAUGCUUCGGAUCCAUAUACCAAAAAAAUGGGGUCUCCCCCGUGUUCGGCUUCGAAGUUGUUCGAUAUGCCCAUAGCAUCUCGGGCAACACUUCUCUCCAUUUCCCCUUAGCAUCAUCUAACCUUUUCUUUAAGUUUUGAAUUGUAGUUUUGUUUGUGGACUCAACCUAACCGUUUGCGCUUGGGUGGUAAGGUGUUGAUAGAAUCCUUUUGAUUUUAUGGUCCUCGAGGAAUUUUGUUACCUUGCUGCCGAUGAACUGCUUUCCAUUGUCACAUGCUAUCUCGGCGGGUAUCCCGAAUCGACAUAUGACGUGGUCCCAUAUGAAGUCGAUGACUUCUUUUUCUCUGAUUUUCUCGAAGGCCUAUGCUUCUACCCAUUUUGAGAAGUAGUCAGUCAUAAAAAAAAUUUAGCUUUACCUGGUGCCGUUGGUAGGGGGCCGACGAUGUCCAUCCCCUAUUUCAUAAAUGGCCACGAGGAUAGGACCGAAUGGAGUUGUUCACCGGGUUGAUGGAUCAUCGGUGUAAAUUUUUGGCAUUUGUCAAACUUUCGAACGAACUCCUUCGUAUCCUUUUCCAUGGUAUACCAAUAGUACCCCGCUCUAAUCACCUUGCGAAUCAGAGAGUCCGCACCAGAAUGGUUCCCACAAGUACCCUCGUGGAUUUCUCGUAGUAUGUAAUCGGUAUCCCCGGGUCCCAAGCACACUGCCAGUGGUCCAUCGAAGGUUAUUCUGUACAACGUUCCAUUUUCAUCGAGUGAGAAUUGAGCUGCUUUGGUUCGAAGUGUUCUCGACUCCUUUGGGUCCGCGGCAAGCUUCCUGUGCUUCAGGUAGUCGAUGUACUUAUUCCUCCAAUCACACGUUAAACUUGUUGAAUUAAUCUCUGCAUGGCCUUCUUCGACCACUGACUUCGAUAGUUGGACGAAAAUCCCCGGGACAAUAUCAUCUUCUUCAACCGAUGAUCCCAAGUUUGCAAGUGCAUUGGCCUCAAUAUUCUGCUCUAGAGGUACAUGAUCCAGCGCCCACUCCUUGAAGCGGUGCAAUGUCACUUGAAGUUUGUCCAAGUACCUCUGCAUUCGGUGUGCUAGACAUGUUCAAGCCUGAAAUCAAAGAAUCUUUGACAAGAAAAAGUGUAAAGAAUAACAUGUGUUAUCAGAAAACUAACACUAAAACAAUUACUAUUAUCUUUAGCCCCACGAUGGGCGCCAAACUGUUUACCUCAAAUAAUGUGAGUAACAAUUAAAGAUAGUUUGUGGUUUUAAAGAUAUGUGAUAUAUUCUAAUACUAGUGAUUAUACAAGUAAUAUUAAGCUUAAGUAAGAAAAGUUGGUGGACCAAGUUGACAUUGUUGAAGUAGAAGGAUCCUCGAGCUUGAUUACCCCAGGGACCUCGAGGUCAGCUAAGAACAAUGAGGUAUAAAGAAAAGACAAUAUUAUUACAGACCCAAUGAGUGAAAUAAAUUACAGUGAAAUAAUAUUAUAAUAAAAAUUGAGGAGUUAGUAAAAUCGGGAAAAUGGGUUUAUUUUAAUAUUUGCAUCAAACGGGUAGAAAUCCUGCCUAUAGGUAUUUAAUUUGCUCAAACAUGUUCUGCUACUGUGUGUGUUAGAUAACCUGCCUAUAGGUAUUUAAUUCGUUCUGCUUCUACAUGUUUGUCAAAUAAAGUGACCAAUGUUUUAAUUUGCAUUACAACAUCCAUUAGACAUUAUGACCAUAGGGUCAUGAUAGCUUAUGUUCUACAAAUCUGCAUUUUAGAAAUCAUGCCUAUAGGAUUUUAAUUGGUUAAUGUGUUGUUAUAAUUACUCACUUAGGAGACAUGCCUAUAGGAGCUAAAACCAGUUUCUAUCGCUAAAUGUAGAAAUCCUGCCUAUAGGAUAUUCCCACUCGCUUUUAAGUGCUAAUAUUGAACUUUUAACACUGUUUCGUUGUUACUAUUAGAAAGCAUGUCUAUAGGAUCAAACCAGGUAAUUCUGAAUGUCUUCCAUGACUAUCACUACUAACUACUGCGUAAAUCACCUAGAUAUCAUUUCUAUAGGUUUAAUUGCUUGCAACUUGCAAUCAUUAGGCAAUUGUGUAGUCGCUCAGAAGUUGUAUCUAAAAUGGCACCUUGCAUAUGAAACUGACUGCAUUUUUGAAUUCCUAAGUCACAUAGAAACCAUAUCUACAGGGCUUAAUGACUUUAACGCGUCUCAGUUCUGGAACUGUCAAAUGCCUAAUUUGUUUGCGUGCAUUUGUUUUCUAAGUGUGGAGGCUAACUUGAGCCUUUAAUUGCUUUUACAUGAAGUCCAACUUAUUUUGUAUGUCGUCUAGUUUUCUCAUUUUGAGCAAUCUAAGUUAAGUCUAGAACCACCCAAAAUAGAGGUCAGAUGCCUCUUGGACUAUAGACAUGGGACGGGUAGUGCACCCAUAAAGUACGGCUUAGAAUCAAUUAGUGCGCCUUAUGUAACAACUUAAAGAUAGUAAUCGGGUAGCAGGAGAUGAUAGUCUGUGCCCGCUGAAUAAUACGAGUAACACCUCAUCUCGAGAGAGUUAUGAAGUAUUAUUUAUGUUGCACGGGGUGAUCCUUUAGGCUAAAAAACUUAGGACCCCCCUCCUAUCUUGUCUUAAACUCAAUUAUUUUGUUUAUUGGUAGAUUUUUUAUAAUAAUCGCCCAACUUCUUGUCUUUCCCUCUUGUUUUGGACUAAUUCAUAUAAUUCGAGUCCGGCCGGGACCCACAGUUGUGGACCUCGAAGAGUGCCUAACACUUAUUUUCGAGGUAAUUUGAUCCCUUACCCGGUCUUUGGUGACGCAAACUGGUUAACCCUGAGUUAUUUGCAAAUAGGUGCCCUAACUCACCUCAAACCCGUUAGAUGACGACUCUCUCUUUUAACACUUUGUUUAAAAAAGUUAUCACGUGUCGAAACUCGUUUUCGCGAAAAAUAUGGGCGCGACAUCAUGACUGUGACACAAAUCUUGACAGGCACCAUAACUCGCUGAAACUUUUGCGGAGCGUACUUUAAAAUCCGACGCGAAGCUAUUUUCUCAAGCUUCUAUUAUGGGGUAAGCUUCUAUUCGCUGAAGCUUCUAUUAUAUUUGCCUAUUUACACUUCCAACCCAAACUCCACCGCACCUCACGAUGUUAUCUUUUCUUACUCGGUGCUGUUAUAGUCACUUAGUUUUCUUUUUAAACAAGAAUGUUAUUAUUUCCACUUUGACCCAUGUUAUACCCAUCGUUUUUACUCAAUUUAUGACAUGGCAAAUCUCAAAAUUUCAUGAUACAAUAUGUACGUCGCUUUAUCUGUCUAUCUAUCUAUCUAUCUAUUUAUCUAUCUAUAAAAGUACGAAUAUUUCACAUUAAAUAUUGAGCGAUUAAAAUAUUUUAAAAUAUUAAUCGAUUUUUGUGCCUUUAAAUAUUUGUGUAGUGAACCAAGUUAAAGGUGGAGAUAAUUGUAACUAACUACGAUUUUGAUUUUUGAAGAAUCCUUGUUUGCCAAAAAAAACUAUUUGCUAAUGAGUCUCAAUUCUGAUAGGAAUUCUUUCCAUCUUUGAUGGACUUUCUCUACUCCUAUUAAUUGACCUUUUUUUUAGUUUUUAAAAUGCUAUAUCCCACAAACUGUUCAAGACAACAAAAUUUCUUUUUUCAUCGUCAUGAUUUCUAACUUCAUAUAUUCUUUAUCUCGAGAAAGUUCAUCUUCAUGUUAUUAAAGCUAUUUCUCUAUCUUGGAUUUCAAUUAACGUACGUUCCUUGUUUUAAUUUUUUUAAUCUAAAUAAGGUAAUGUCUAUUCAUUGAUUAGUGUUUCUUUUCUUUUCCUCACGAUGUGUCAGUGUCACGUUUGUUGAUAUUUUAGUUGGUAUUUUUUAUAUUCCGACUUAUUUGUGAAAUCCCAAACCAUAAGAAUAUAUAUAUAUAUAUAUAAUUUUUUGCCUAACAUGUCCAUUUACCCUUAAAAUUGAAUAACAAUUAAACUGAUAAGUGGUUUUAAGGAUAUGUAAUUUCACCUAGCACAAAUUGAUAAAUAUGAUGGUUAAUGCUAGAAAUUUGACAGUAAAAUAAAGCAAACCAGUAUAAAAUGCAACUUGGCUCUCGAGCUAGAUCGCCCUCGAACCGACUGAGAAUAUAGUUAAGAAAUAUGAACGGAACUGAAGAACAAAAGAGUUUAAGAGUGAAAAGAGUAUUAUAUUGCUUUGAUAUGCGAGAAUUAGAUAAUUACAAAUGAUUAGAGCUCCCCUUUAUAUAGUAGAGGAAUUCUACUUAUGGUACAAUUCUAAAUUCAGAAGAAAAUCUCAUGAUUGGCUAAACAGCUGUUCUUGAUCUGAUUUGUGCCGAGAUUUCCGCCACGAUCCUCGACCGGUCACGGAUAUCUCGACUUUUCGUUAGUGGGCUAUCUUCGGUCUCGCUUGAUGUCUAUCUCGUUUGGUCUCGAUCCUUACUGGUAUCAAUUUCGAUCGGUACUUCAAAUCCCGAGCUUGGUACCACACCUUCAUGUCUCGGUCAUAUAUAACACAGGGCUGAUCCUCGACCCACCAUUCUGGUCUCGGUUAAUUAACAAAAUUGGGUGAUCCCGAUUUCGACCGUAUACAGAUAGUCCCCUCAUUUCUUGAGUGUGAUGACAAGAAAUGAAUUGAGACUGCGAUAUUUUCCUUGAUUUGUCAUGACGUUAGCACUGUGACGUAAGCGACUGAGGUGAACGAAAUGUGUCAUCGGUAUAGUUCCCCAGGCAUUUAAUGUGCAUCAGUUGAUGGUCGGCCACUACCAGUCUUUGAACCGUCGCCGUGAAACCCAUAAAUAGGUUCCUUUUCCAUUCUUUCAAACUUUACUUUCAACCUCUUCUACUCUAAUCUUCAAAGUUUUUUGCAUCCCUCAAUUUUUUCAUCUUCAAAUCUUUAAGUUCCAUUGUUGAUUGUUAAUUCCUUCUAAAACACCAAAUAUUAUCAUCUCCAUUAUACUUUGACUUCAAAGCCUAAUGGCGAAAACGUUUAAAAAUGUUCCAUAAAAAGAAAUUGCCUCCUCAUCUCGGCCGGCCAGCGAGAAAAUAGCGGUGGCGCCACGCCCUGAGGAAUGUGUUCCCGGGGGGGGGGGGGGUAUUAUUAGCUUUGACUUUAAAAUCGAGAAAACCUCAUCGGUCCCCGGUCAAUGCGAGCUGGUAUCGAGAUACAUAUGCUCGAUAUCCGAGAAUUCCUCAAACAAGUGAAGAAAGACUGUAACUGGGAAAACAAAGAAGUAGUGAUACCAGGCCCUAUUACGCUGGGUCCCUUCGAUCCAGUCAUCGUGGACUUAUGCAGAAAGUACCAAGUAAUCCUCGGACAAAUCCACCCCUCUUUCUGGAGGAUUGUAAUAUUGCUCCGAUUCUUUGUGAGCAAAAUCAACGGUCUCCCUUUCACCAUCGAUCACCUUAUAAGGUUGUAUAGCCCCCGACUCUACCGAGGUGGGCUAAUAAAACUUCAACGCCGGGCUACCAAGACACUUAUCCCGAGCAUAGAUGAGGACAAAGAUCGAGGUUGGAUGGGUUGGUUCGUCCGAGUGAAGACCUCAGACCUAAUUUCGGCUGAGAGCAUGUCGUUUCUCGAGAGGUGGAAUAUGAAACGUAAGUAUGAUUCCAAUAUUAGCUUCUGUUUGUCACUUUUACUUAUUCAUUUUUCCUUAUAGACAUUUUUUCUCGGUGUAGCUGUUGCUUGGAUGUCGAGUGCGGUCCCUCACCUCGAGAGUUAGGUUAGGAGCUUGGUCUCGACAUCUACAUAUGUUGAGCGCGCAUGGCACGAUCUGUUAAAGGGCCGGUGGGAGGCUAAAAAACAUGGCAAGUCUCGUUCUUGUACUUAAUGAUUUACUAAAAUGCCUCUCCGAGCUUACUCGGUUUCCCUUUUUUGCAGGUCUUGGGAAAGAUGCAACCAUGAGGCCCACGUCCGGCGGUGAAAAAGCCCCUCUACCCAUCUCAAAGCCACCUAAGGAGGGCAAGAGAAAAAGGGCCUCGACUUCCGAUAGGCAAGAGCCGAAAAAAGAGAGUGGCUCGUAAGCCAAAAAAGAAUGCCAUUCCUCUGUCUGUGGAGGCAGCCCAACUCCUAAGGGAGAAAGAAGAUGAAAAAGGAAAGAAGGAUGAUUUCGGUCUGGUGGCUUACAAAGGAGCUAAUACCGAGGGUCUAAAGGCCACUAGAUCAGUCGAAGCUGGAAAUAUUCUGCCUCUAUCUGACAGGGUCCAAGAGGGGGAUUCAAUUGGAGUCCCUGGGCCGACUAGAGCCGAAGGUGCCUCACCUCGGGGUAAGAAAGCAGUAAAAAUGUCUGUGGAGUCCGGUCUCGAGGCUCCUCGAGAUGGAGAGAACGCCCCAAGAGACCUAUUUGGGGCAAUAGAAAUUGGAGACUCCCCGUCGCUUCCUUCAUUCUCCAAGGAAAUGAUUCAGGAGGCUCGGGCCAUGAAUACUCUUUCUAUAGAAGGAGCCCAUGGAGGGGAAGACCCUUUCCAUGGUUAUUUCGCUGGGGUCGAUGAUAUUGCUGGCCUGAGUGACUUAGAUAUAUCGAGGAAGAGAUCGAAACUUCCUCGAGUUUCAGACUAACUAGUCAGUUUUCGGCCCCUAGUGUCAAUCCCGGGUGCAAAAGAACAAUCAUUAUCUCGAUCCCGGAGAAUGCACGAGUUUUUAUCGCCCUCGUAGCGGUGUCUAGUUACCUUCGGAGUCUAGUCACGGAGGAGGACCAAGAUCUGAUGGACGAGGUGGGAGCACCAUGUCUCUUUAACAAGGUCCAACAGGCCUUGAAUCAGGUAAGCCCCAAUUCCUUUUGUCAAUACCAAUUUCCAUACCUGUGUUUUUCUCUUCUUGCCUAAUUCUUUUUCUUCUAUUUGUGUGGGCCUCGGUGCUUCAUCACGAAUCUUUCUCUGGGUCUCGAGGAGAACUGAGCCGACAUGAGGCCGAAAUUCAAAGGCUCACCGAGGAGAAAAAUGCCCUCAAGCUUCUCAGUGAGCAAAGCAGAAGCCAAGGGCCUUCGAGCUGAGCUAGCUACGGCUCAGAAAGAACAAAGUAACCUGGCCGAGUAGGUAAUAAAAAUCUUAGAAGUUUAUGACAUCAGUUCGGGAGUGACAGCUAACAGUUCGAUCCCACGGGUCCAACAGAAGCUCGAGAUAAUCGGGCAGCUUUGUAAAGAAGUAGAUGCGAUGAAGGCGGGAACAACGGCAUAGAAGCAAAAAAUGGACCAUCUUGCCUUAGAGAAGGAGUCUGCUCAAGCUCAACUAACCACAGUUGAGAGUCAACUCCAAAGCUUGAAAGAGAAAAACUUGGUGCAAGCCAAGAAAAUCGAGAAGUUCCAGACUGGGUUGGGUUCAGCUGCCUCCGAUCGAGAGAGGCUGGUCACAGAACUUGUAGUGGCCAAAUCCGAGGCUGAGACGGCCAAGGCCUCUGCUGAGGCAAUUGUGGUCUUCUACUGAUCCGACGCCGAAGCCGCUCAAGCUCGAGCAAAGGAAGUUGUUGAAGUUUCUCAAGUUCGAGCACAUUGGGUUGCUGAGUUUGCCAAGUGCCAGUCUCGAAGGGAGAGUCUCGAGGAGGUCCACGCUCGUGGCUUUGAUCUUACUGCCGAGAUAGAAAAUGGAAAAGAACUUGAAGCUGAAACCAAAGCGUUGGCCUCUCCCAAUGAUGAUGAUUCCGGGAGCAUGAGCGGGUCCAAGAGUGUGGAAAACCCCGAGGGUGAAGAUGUUGCUUCUGGAGAAGAUCAGGCACUUACGAUCUUUCUUUUUGGGUUUUUGUAUGUAAUCUCGAUCGAGCCACGUUGCCCUUGUAAAUAACCUUUUGAUAUAUAUAAAGAUCUUUUUUCCUUUCUGUCUUGUCUUGUGAAAUUUUUACUUCAUUUCUGCCUUAUGAAACUUUUGCUUCAUUUAUGCCUUAUGAAAUUGUGUUCAUAAGUUCGAGGCUUAGGCAAUGAAACUGAACUAGUAUAGUUAUUACGAUUGAGUGAGUUCUUGCUCGAACUCGAAGUAAGGUAACCCCUAGGUUUUAUUUGAGCGAGGACGAUCUCACAAACUCAAAAGCAAAAAAUAGCCCUUAGGCUUUUGUAUUAGGCCGAUAUGGCCUUUGAAAAGAGAAUUCUUUAUGGCUUUCUCCCCUUUUCGGCUUGAAAAGUUUUAAUCAUUCGUAUUUGUAAAAAUCUAUAAUGCCUUAACACGAAAUAAGGAAUUGUUCGAGCGUUCAAACAAUUUUGUACUCAUUAGAGUUUUAGAGGCUUGAUAUUAUCGAAGACCUUGGUAAUUUUGCUGAGGGUAGCUUUUUUAACCGGUUUAUUAAAAUAUUCGAAGGCCUGAUUUAUUACGGAAUUUGGACAUCUCUGAACCGUGUUUGUUUGGCCGUAGCCUUUUUAGUUUGGGACUUGCCUCUUGGGCUUAUUUUCCCGUUUCACUUCGAGCUUGCCCGAAGUGUCAGUCCCCGAAUGGGGUGGCCGUGACCUAUACAAAUUGAGGGUUGCCCUUAAGGUCUUAUGAUCUCGAAGUUUUAAUAAUUCGAUCUCGUCUAUUUUUCGAAUGACAGUCCCCGAGUGUGGGGUUAGUUGUUCUAACUUUCGUUAUGAUCGGCCCUUAAGCCUGUUUACACAAAAGAUCAAGAGUAUGAAAUUGUAAAGUAGAAAACUUUUCUAAGGCAUGAGAUAUCGACAAGGAAAAAUACUUCUCCUAAUAGAUGAUUAUACAUGCGUACAUGUUUGAUGUUAGGGCUCGAGCAACCUAUAUGGGCACGGUUUAUUUGACCUUUUGGCUCUUACAAAAUUUACCUAUCGAGGCCCCGUUGUCAUGAAGUAAUUUCCUUGCAACAAAGCUGACAUUCUAGGGUAAUGCCCCUAGUAUUCGAGGUCAAUUGUAAAGAAGCCUCAGAUACUAUUGAAUUGUUCUAAGUUAGCACGAUCAAUGUUUGCCUCAUUAAAAACCUCGGCAGAAAACCCAUUUGGGACAAAAUUGGUCUAAGGGAAAAAGAGUGCAAUGCGUGCUUUCAGACCUAAAGACUUUGUGUUGAAGAAUCCAUCGUCGUUCUUGAUCGGACAUGUGCAAUGGUUAGUUUAAAAUAUAAAUGAAAAUAGAAGGGUCAUACCUUAGAAGUAGUAUUUUUUUAGGAGCGAUAUGUUCCAAUUGUUCGGUAAUUGUUCGUCGUUCAUCAUGCCGAAAUUGUAGGAUCCUUUUCCGAUGAUGUCGAGGACCUGAUACGAUCCCUCCCAAUUUGGACCUAGUUUUCCUUUAUUCAGAUUUCAAGUGUUAAGGGUGACUUUUCUUAGCACCAAGUACCCAAUUUUAAAAUAUCGAAGAUUGGCUCUUCGAUUAUAGUACCUUUCGAUCCGCUGUUUUUGUGCGGAAAAUCGAACGAGGGCGGCUUCGCAUCUUUUGUCCAAUAAUUCUAGCCUUGUAUUCAUGGCAUCGUGAUUCGAUUCUUCUGUUGCAUAUCGAAAUCUGAGGCUAGGUUCCCUGACCUCGGCUAAGAUAAGAGCUUUGGCACUAUAGACUAAAGAGAACGGUGUUGCCCCCGUACUAGACUUUGACGUUGUGCGGUAUGCCAGAACCUCGGGAAGUAUUUCUCUUCACUUUCCUUUGGUGUCGGUCAGUCUCUUCUUAAGAUUUUGGAUAAUGGUUUUGUUGGUCGAUUCGGCUUGUCCGUUCCCACUGGGAUGAUAAGGUGUCGAUAAAAUUAUUUUGAUCAUGUGAUCCUCGAGAAACUUAGUCACUUUGCUGCAGAUUAAUCAUUUUCUAUUAUCAGGCAUCCCGAAUCGACAUAUAAUGUUGUCCCAAAUGAAUUCUAUGACUUCUUUUUCUUUGACUUUCUCGAAAGCAUGUGCUUCAACCCACUUAGGAAAAUAGUCAGUCAUAAAUAAUAUAAAUUGGGCUUUACCUAGGGCCAAUGUGAGAGGGAUGAUGAUAUCCAUUGCCCAUUUCAUGAACGACCAAGGGGAUAAGACCGAGUAGAGCUGCUCCCUGGGCUGGUGAAUCAUUGGCGCAUACCUUUGACAUUCGUCGCAAUUUUGUAUCCUUUUCCAUAUCGACCUAGUAGUACCCUGCUCUGAUAACUUUGUGAACCAAUGAUUUGGCACCGGAAUGAUUUCCACAAGUGCCUUCGUGAAUCUCCUGGAGGACGUAGUCAGUAUCUCCCGGUCCCAAACAUAUUGCCAAUGGUCCAUUGAACAUUCUCUUGAACAGCAUUCCAUCUUCGGACAAAGUGAACCAUAUUGUCUUUGUGCGUAGAGUUCUAAACUUCUUUGGAUCUGAUGGGAGCUUUCCAUUCUUUAGGAAUUCUAUGUACUUGUUUUUCCAAUCCCAUGUCAAACUUGUAGAGUUUAUUUUGGUGUGGCCUUCUUCGAUCACUUAUCUCGAGAGUUGUACGACGGUCCCCGAGUUAAGUUCGUCAUCUUCGACCGAUGACACCAAGUUUGCAAGGGCAUCGGCCUCGCUAUUCUAUUCUUGAGGUACAUGUUGUAAGAUCCACUCUUUAAACCAAUUUAAAGUUACCUGUAGCUUGUCCAUGUACCUCUGCAUUCAGUCCUCUACGACUUCGAAAGUUUUGUUGACACUGUUUACCACGAGUAGGGAAUCACAUUUGGCCUUGAUGACCUCUGCUCCCAAACUUUUAGCCAACUCGAGACCUGUAAUCAUGGCCUCAUACUCGGCCUCAUUGUUAGUUAAUUUCAAAGUUCUGAUAGAUUGUCUAAUUAUAUUAUCUGUGGGUACUUUAAAAUGAUACCCAACCCGGACCCCUUCAUGUUCGAAGUGCCAUCCGGGAAGAAGGUCCACGCCCCUGAUGAUGUACAUUUUAAUAACAGUUCUUUUUCGACCUCUAGUACGAGGGCUAGCGUGAAGUCGACCAUAAAGUCUGCCAAGAUUUGAGACUUGAUGGCUGUUCGGGGUCAAUACUCGAUAUCGUACCCACUAAUCUCGACGACCCAUUUGGCCAAUCGACCCAAAAGUUCGGGUUUGUGCAAAAUAUUACAAAGGGGAUAAGUAGUUACAAUACAUAUUGGAUGGCAUUGGAAAUACGGUUUUAAUUUCCUAAAGGCGCUUAUUAAAGCAAGCGCUACUUUUUCUAAGUGAGGGCAUCUGGUCUCGGCCUCACCUAAGGUUCGACUAACAUAGUAAACAAGGAAUUGCAUACCUUGUUCUUCU
Molecule: long non-coding RNA, 19930 nt
Filed under: Nicotiana tabacum (common tobacco)
Lineage: Eukaryota; Viridiplantae; Streptophyta; Magnoliopsida; Solanales; Solanaceae
Description: long non-coding RNA (NTAB_LNC001803)
Source: RNAcentral